UACAGAGGGUGCGAGCGUUGUUCGGAAUUAUUGGGCGUAAAGGGCGCGUAGGCGGUGCGGUAAGUCACCUGUGAAAUCUCCUGGCUCAACUGGGAGCUUGCAGGCGAAACUGCCGUGCUGGAGUGUGGGAGAGGUGCGUGGAAUUCCUGGUGUAGCGGUGAAAUGCGUAGAUAUCUGGAGGAACACCGGUGGCGAAGGCGCCCACCUGGCCUGUUACUGACGCUGAAGCGCGAAAGCUAGGGGAGCAAACGGG
RNAcentral lists this ribosomal RNA (253 nucleotides) under uncultured bacterium. Its description in RNAcentral is "partial 16S ribosomal RNA". It matches the Rfam family "Bacterial small subunit ribosomal RNA", at positions 524 to 776 of the family's 1533-position model. The record is from RNAcentral.